GAGGUGUUAACAGUCUUCAUUUAAUGAAUUUCCAUGAACAUCUUUUUUUUUUUUUUGAUGAUCAUUGUGUGGAGAUAUCAUCUUAAUUGAAACUGUGAGAAGGCUGUACCUGUGACAAAGGACACAAAAGAACCUGCUUAUGUGAACACAAAUGAAGGACACAGUGGGGACUUGCCAUACAGGCCACACGAUGAUCACCCACAGGAACAGGCUGCACGGCAGUCUUCCAGGCACUGGUUUCUGCCUCGGGCAUCCCACAGGCAGCCUCUUUCCUUCCAUCACAUCCAGUCUUGGAUAAAGAAAAAGAAUGGACUUCUAUAAGAGUUGCAACACCACGUACUCUACUAGAUAACAGCACAGGCAUCAUCCCUGGAAACAUCCAUAAAAACACAAGUCAAACUACCAUACCUGUAUUUCAAGUAGGUGACCUCCCUGCUCUGCUCUGUCAUCUCCCUCUCCCAGACUUGAAUCUUGAUAUGGGGGAGAAAAACAUACCCACCUUCAGUUGUGCCAGACUGUGCACCAAAGAGAGGAGGAAAAAAGAAAACACCCAGUUGUCCUGAGCAUUCUUCUCAUACACUGCGAUCUGAAAAAGCCAACAAUGAAAAGCCCAUGUUUAGGGAUUCCAAGGGCCACUACACUCACCCGCAUGAGGUGCUAAGGAUUCAAUACAUCAGGCAGAACUCAGGUUCCCUGAUGUCUGAAGGUGAGCUCUGCCUGUUGCAGCUGUUCUCUUGUUUGUUCAAUUUGUUGCCUGUGAGUUACAAUUGCUUUCAUCAAAUAAGGCCUGAUAUUGGUUAGGAUUAGACAUAAUCUGUCCAUGUUUCCAUCAGCCUCAUAUCUGUCCCCUGAUAUAAUUUAUUCUUACACAUGAAACACUCUUUACAUGGUUAUAAAUGUACAGUAGCAUCAAAGCUAUUGUUCCAUCCUUUCCUUACUCAUUAUUCCAUGCCCAUAGGGUUCAGAGUUCAUAGAAUUCCUUCCCAUUUUCAAUCUCUUCCUAAUUCAUCACAUGACAAGUGUCUUUCAUCAUAAAGCUCUAUUCUUUAACUUAUAUCGUCACCAUGUUUCCUAGGGUUGCAAAGACCAGGGCCAUUAAAUGUCACCACCAUGUUGAUGGGUAUGACACAUCCUACGACACACUGCUUUCCUAUAGAUUAUGACACUUGACACCAACCCCCCAGGAACAUUAGCAUUGAUGUAAUUUCUAUACAGUCUGGCCAUUGCUUGAGAUCCACAAAUGUUUAGAAACGUAAUUGUUUUGUUCUUUCUAAAACUUACCUUUUUUUUAGUCUGCUAAUACUCUAUGCCUAUGUCCUCUGAAUUUGUGUUUAUAUUACUAUGUUGGGUCUAAACAUUGUAAAAAGGUUAAAAACAAAAAAUGAGCAGAGCUUUCAUGAGCUGCUGGUAAUUAGUAGCUGAACUCACUUGUACUUGUUUUCUUCUGUAGUUUUUUUCAAAUUUUCCCUGCAGCUGCCAGCUGAUUCUUCUUUGCCGCCAGUCCACACUGUGUCAUUUUAAGCUUCCUAAGAUAGGAAAAAUAUAUACAUAGUCCAGGAGCCAAGGUCCAGAAAUUCUGCCUUUUUACCCCCCAGCACUCUUGAAGGCAAAUAUCCCUUUCCCCAUCUCUCCCGUAAAUGCACAGACUGACAACACAAUCAGAGAAAUGAAGUGAACACCCCAUUUAAGUUAAAGAAAAUUCAACGUCUGUCUGCUGCCAUGUCUUUGCUAUCAGAACUGUCUUUCUAGUUCUCUGCUUCUACUCCUUCAUCAUAAAGUCAUCAAAUAACGUUGCACUCUGUGCCUUCCAAGAGUUGGUCUUUUGUUUGAGAUGGUGAAGCCUCAUUUCAGCAAUGUCACAAACUAUGACCAACUGUACCCAUUAGGAUGAAGCAAGAGAUCAUCACUAGUCUUAUACCUCCAUGUGGAGCCCUGAUUCUCAGUCCAAAAGUUGUACCCUGACACAAUCACCCUGAAAGAGACCUUCCAGGAUAUGGCUUCACCAGCAUUGCAGCUCACUCCCUGACAUUGCUAGGGGUUAGGAGUACAACCCCUGCCUCCACCUUCAUAUAUCUUGGUGGAGGAAAAGGCCAAUCUUAGAGCAGCAAUGUCUCCUGAAGUAUAACCUGAUAUGAACUGUCAUAUAGUCUGGGUUUAUAUAUAGUCUGUUUCCUGGAGAGGAAACAGAUUUCAGAUGGAAAACUAUCAACUUCAUACAGUCAAUCUACUUUAACAAGACAUUCCAUUGAUAGUGAAGACAGCAAAGGGAAAUGCCUUAAAAGGCUGGUUUGCCAUGUUACCAUCAGACUAUUUUGUUUGUGUAGUUGAUUUAAAGGGUUUCUACUUGGCACUCGAUGUACUCAAGAAUCACAUGCAAAACUGAAAGUCUCUUAGAAACUGACACAAAAGCCCUAGACAGAGAAAGGCACAUGCAUUUCCUUCUGGCCUCUGAGGCAGUCCUUCAGCAAAUGCUUUCUGGAGUGGUUGUAAUAUAGUGGCUCUGUUGUAAGGGAGUGAAGGAAGAAAGGUGGUCAGGGCUCUGUACCCACUCCCAAAAAGAGCUUACAAAUUAAUAAAAACAAGAUGCCAAUGAGACAGAGCAUCCCUCACCUCAGGUGUGGGAAGGAAUAACACACAGCCGAGUCUCCAGGGAAGAGAACGAAGAGCUCAUUUCCCAUUAUGAAUGAGGGACUCUAAAGGCCCCGAUCUCUGCCUGAGAAUGAAUGGAAAUACUGUACAAAGGAGGAAAUAUGUGAAUGAAUGCACCAAAUUUCUAUCAACCUCAUGAAGACACACAAGACCAAGAUAGAGAAGAAGGAAGCCCAUGACAAAGCCAGCCUGGCAGUUGGAGCCAAUCUCCCUAGGUUUCAUCAAUGAUUUGGGAGGCUUACAAAUGAACUGCAUUGAAGCUGAACAACUUUAGGGGCAUAGACUUAGAAUGAAACACGUGUAGUUCAGGGUCGGCCAGCAAAGAUGAGCCCUAGUGAAGCUGCAGGCUUUGGUCAAGACCCAGAAGAGUUACACUUAAAAAUCAGGGGACAGGAAAUAACUAGGCUUUCUUAGGGACUGGGCCUGUAGUGAACAAUCUCACUGGCAGAAUGGAUGCAGGGAUCCAGUACUGCUGGCGCCCCUACCCACUUUCCAGGAAGAAGUUACUGUUGUUUCUGCAGCAAGAUAAUUCCAUUUUUUCCCUCUACACUUUUGACCCAUGUCUGGUCCUGAACAAAAAUGACCUAAUUGAUGACAAAACAACGUGAUGGGAUUGAAACCUAUAGGACAAUGUAGAUGGAUCCAGAGCAGAUCCAGGUAUCAAUGUUAUUAAUGCUGGUACCUUCCCUCUUCUGCCCCAAAUACAUGACACAAUGUGUGACAAGCACUCAGGACAGAAAGGAAAAUGCAGGUUACAGAAAGCAAGGUAGGAAGGGAAGGCACAAUUCUACUGAAUGCAUUUGGCAAAAAGACUCUGGACCCAGUUCCAAAACAAGUAUCUCUACUGGCUGCCACAUUCAUUCAUACAACGGUACUUAUGACAGUUAUCACAUGAUCAUCUUACUCUUCUGUA
Molecule: long non-coding RNA, 3562 nt
Organism: Neofelis nebulosa (Clouded leopard)
Lineage: Eukaryota; Metazoa; Chordata; Mammalia; Carnivora; Felidae
Exons: 3
Source: RefSeq, a predicted model, not a curated record